AAUGAAUGGUUCAUUCGUUAUCGCUAGCAAACACCAAUAGGAACACCUUUUGUUUUUAAUCCUCUGUUUUCUCUUUAAUCCCAAAUCAACUAUUAACACUUGGUUCACACGGAGCAGACGAGGUUGAGGUUUCCAGCAAGUUUCCGGUCAAAGCUCCGACUAAAAGAUAUUUGUUUAAUCAAAAUUUAUCGCCUCAAAGAGUUGGAUACUGAUCGGGAUAAUUUGACGUUCAAGAUGUGGGAUGCCAUUAUUCCUAAGAAAUAUGAAGAGUUGAUGAGUUUGGAUAUGAUUUUCAUUGACGAAAAGGAAAACAAUGGCCCAAAAGCAAAAAGCAAAGAACAAAAGAAAAAUUGGCCAGAAAUGAAGAAUCGACGGUCCGUCGAUCAGCCGACGAACAGUCCUUUGAAGCGUCGAUAAGCUCGAUUUUCCAGUGAUGACAAAGUUGAAGACGACAAAGGACGGAGGCAUCGACAAAGCGUCGAACUGAUUGACGGUUCGUUGUUUGUGUCGUCAAGCAGGAUCUCUCAAAAAAAGGAGAAAAAGACAGAAUACUCGAUGAAGCGUCAAACUGGUCGACGGCACCGUCGAAUGGGACACAUUACUGAAGGUACAAAGGACGGAGAAAUCGACGGAUCGUUGAACGAUCGACGGUCCGUCGAUCUUGCUAUCGGGGGCACUUUUGUCAGUUUCUGCUGUGCGUUUUUGGAGCCUAUUUAAAGAACAUUUUAGGUUUUUCUUUGCAUCCAGAUUUUUAUUGUAACCACUUAAAAAGUUCAUUUGGUGGGUGAGCAUUGAAUACUCUCCUUUUGAAGCUUAAUGAAGACAACAAGAUUUCAUUUUCCAUCAUCUUUAUUACACUUUGUAAGCUUUAUGUCUCAUUUAUUGCUUCCUACUUUUAAGACCAUAAUGUGUGAGUAGUUUCUUUAAUCAAAGUUGUGGACCCAAAUGAUGGGUGCUAUGUAAUGGGUAUCUAA
Molecule: long non-coding RNA, 974 nt
Organism: Lycium barbarum (goji berry)
Lineage: Eukaryota; Viridiplantae; Streptophyta; Magnoliopsida; Solanales; Solanaceae
Exons: 3
Source: RefSeq, a predicted model, not a curated record